RNAcentral lists this long non-coding RNA (1337 nucleotides) under Homo sapiens (human). RNAcentral describes it as "non-protein coding lnc-ZNF532-3:1". The record is from RNAcentral. Lineage: Eukaryota; Metazoa; Chordata; Mammalia; Primates; Hominidae.
GCAGAUCAGUAUGGUGCCGCUAGGCAGGCACUGACUAGCUCCAGGCAGCUCAACCUUGGGAGCUUCGGGGCCCCGAGAGGUGGAGCCUGUGAGUGGGGCAUGCACUCCAUGUGGAAGCCAGAGCCUCCUCCCCUGGAUGGAGUGUACGAGAUCCCUGGACCGGAGCCCAUCCCCUCUGUGAGAGAGAUGUACUUCACGCCCGGGCUGCCACCGCUGAUCUUCCUGCCCUGGGACCCUGGGUAGAAACACCCAAAAUUCUGUUCACCCCGUUCACGACCCUGGGACCCUGGCUCGAAGCACCCAAAGUUCUGCUGCUCAAGCUCCAUUCACGAGCAGCCACCAUACAAAGACCAGGCCUGCUAUGUCUUUCACCAGCGUUGCCGCCUUCUCAGGGGUGUCAAGCAGGCCCUCUGGCUUACCGAGGCCAAGUUAAUAAAAUGCCUUCCUGAGAAAGUACUUGGCCUUGUUGAUGAUACAAGGAACCACAUAGAGAACCAAGAUGAGCGUCUUCUGAAUUUGAUCUCUCAUGCCUGUCUCUGGCACUGUACUGAGUACGGCCCCAGGAGAGAGGCCUGCUGUCUGGUCAUUGUGGACAGUCUGAUAAAGUUGUGUAAGUCUCAGAUUCUCAGGCAUCCUUCUCUGGCCAGGCAGAUUUGUGCCCAAAACUCCACGUUAUCCACCACCUGGAAUUGUGUCUGUUCUUCAGGGUCAUGGUUCUAGUGGAGCCGGCUGAGUGCCAAGGAUCCUCUGCCCCCGCCAUCUCCUCCAGAGAAGAGGUUGAAGCUACUAAAAAUCAUGUUCUCGAGGCCUUCUGUCCCCUCUCCCCACUACUGAUCUUCAGGAAUGCAAUGUUUCUGAUGUGAAAGAUGACACAGGAUUCUGGGAGGGCUAUCCUUACCCCUAUCUCCAUAUCCUGCACUUCCUGGAGAAAGCCGAUUUGCAACCACAUAGCCUUCAACCAGAUCAGCUGUGGGCCAAGAUGAUCCUGUUUGCUUUUGGCAUUGCCCUGGCUCAGGCCCAGCUCCUCUGUGGCAAUGACACCAAGAUCUCGGAGCAGCCCGUGGUUGUGCAGAGUACAUGCACAGACGGACGUGCAUUCCAUUUCCUGGUGUUACAGUAGAACACCACAGACCUGGCCUCUUAACAAGUGUGGCAAGAGUUUGGUCUGGGUGGAAUCAUGCCAGCUACUCUCUCAGCAUUUUUGGUGUCUCCCAGUGAUAAAAAAGAAGGUGGGACCGGGCCCAGUGGCAAAGAGGGUGGUUGUGGAAUGCGUUGGGCUGACUGGUUUCCAGUGGGAGACAUCCAGGAAGUUUUUAGCUCUGUAUUUACAUGGUGCU